Molecule: microRNA, 20 nt
Filed under: Taeniopygia guttata (zebra finch)
Lineage: Eukaryota; Metazoa; Chordata; Aves; Passeriformes; Estrildidae
Description: tgu-miR-2982
Source: miRBase by way of RNAcentral
UGUGGAGGGAGGGCUUGGGA